Molecule: long non-coding RNA, 787 nt
Organism: Gopherus flavomarginatus (Mexican gopher tortoise)
Lineage: Eukaryota; Metazoa; Chordata; Testudines; Testudinidae
Exons: 5
Source: RefSeq, a predicted model, not a curated record
AUUCAUUUGCAAUGUUUAUAAGCAGGCGGCUCUCCUGGAAAUUCUCUCCCUGGGAGGCAUAUUUCCAAACUAUUUGCUAAGCAGACUCAUCUCUUACUGGGAAGGAAAUGAGCACAUCCUAUAUUACCUGGACUCAGGACACCUGGGCUGGUUUUUAUUACAAUAUCUGACACUGGCCUGCUGUUUGGCCUUGGGGAGGUGCCCAUGGUAUAAGCAACAAGACUGAGAUUCUUGGACCAUGAGCGUGAAUCCCAGUAAGACUGGCUCAACCUCGUCAUCCAGCUAAGUUGAAGAAGCUGAGCUGUGCAUUUCCAAUGGUUGGAUUCUACAGGGGACAGCUUCAGAACUGAGCUUCUGUACAUUCUGCAAAAGAUAGAUGCAGCCUCAUGCAAGCUUCUGUUCUGCCUUCCUGCAUGACCUUGGGUGAGGUGGACUGGUUUCCAGCUAUGCAGUCAUCAGUAUCAGUUGGGGCCUAGGAGCCUUGGUAUGACGUGGCACCUGUCUGCCAGCAUCACAACCAGAUCAACCAAAGUCCCUGACAUAGCAGAGGGAGCAGAGAUGGAGAACCUUAGUCAGGUUCAGCGUAGCAUCUGGAGAAAGGGAUAGAAAGCUGGGAACAACAACAACUGUACAGUGCGUAGUAUCCCUCCACCCUAGCAACUGUUCCUACUGAGGGGAUAGGGGAUACGUUCCUUUAGAAUCAUGUGAUGAUUCUGCAGCCUGUACUCACAGCAGUAGACCUGGAGGACUCAAUGAGGUUAUUUCAGUGAGUAAGAAUCACUUGCAU